AGAGUUUGAUCCUGGCUCAGAACGAACGCUGGCGGCAGGCCUAACACAUGCAAGUCGAACGCCCUAGCAAUAGGGAGUGGCAGACGGGUGAGUAACGCGUGGGAACCUUCCCUAUAGUACGGAAUAUACCAGGGAAACUUGGAGCAAUACCGUAUACGCCCGAAAGGGGAAAGAUUUAUCGCUAUAGGAUGGGCCCGCGUAGGAUUAGCUAGUUGGUGAGGUAAUGGCUCACCAAGGCGACGAUCCUUAGCUGGUCUGAGAGGAUGAUCAGCCACACUGGGACUGAGACACGGCCCAGACUCCUACGGGAGGCAGCAGUGGGGAAUAUUGGGCAAUGGGCGCAAGCCUGACCCAGCCAUGCCGCGUGAGUGACGACGGCCUUAGGGUUGUAAAGCUCUUUUGGCGGGGACGAUAAUGACGGUACCCGCAGAAUAAGCCCCGGCUAACUUCGUGCCAGCAGCCGCGGUAAUAC
This 472-nucleotide ribosomal RNA is filed under the name Hyphomicrobium sp. RNAcentral describes it as "bacterial SSU rRNA". It matches the Rfam family "Bacterial small subunit ribosomal RNA", at positions 8 to 526 of the family's 1533-position model. Lineage: Bacteria; Pseudomonadati; Pseudomonadota; Alphaproteobacteria; Hyphomicrobiales; Hyphomicrobiaceae. The record is from RNAcentral. RNAcentral also lists the same sequence under 1 other name.